UACGAAGGGGGCUAGCGUUGCUCGGAAUCACUGGGCGUAAAGAGCGUGUAGGCGGUCCGGUAAGUCCGCUGUGAAAGUCGGGGGCUCAACCCUCGAAUGCCGGUGGAUACUGUCGGGCUAGAGUACGGAAGAGGCGAGUGGAAUUCCUGGUGUAGCGGUGAAAUGCGCAGAUAUCAGGAGGAACACCUAUUGCGAAGGCAGCUCGCUGGGACGUAACUGACGCUGAGACGCGAAAGCGUGGGGAGCAAACAGG
RNAcentral lists this ribosomal RNA (253 nucleotides) under uncultured bacterium. RNAcentral describes it as "partial 16S ribosomal RNA". It matches the Rfam family "Bacterial small subunit ribosomal RNA", at positions 524 to 776 of the family's 1533-position model. The record is from RNAcentral.